This 77-nucleotide transfer RNA is filed under the name Herbiconiux daphne. Its description in RNAcentral is "tRNA-Pro". It matches the Rfam family "tRNA". From Rfam's summary of the family: Transfer RNA (tRNA) molecules are approximately 80 nucleotides in length. Their secondary structure includes four short double-helical elements and three loops (D, anti-codon, and T loops). Lineage: Bacteria; Bacillati; Actinomycetota; Actinomycetes; Micrococcales; Microbacteriaceae. The record is from RNAcentral.
CGGCACUUAGCUCAGCUUGGUAGAGCACAUGCUUUGGGAGCAUGGGGUCGGAGGUUCGAAUCCUCCAGUGCCGACCA